UACGUUAGUAAUUUUUAUAAAUUUAUAAUAUAUUGAUAUUUUGUAUUUCAGUUAAUCAAUCAGGUCGGUAUUCAGACAUUGGUAUUAAUGCAAAUUAGUUAUCUUUAUUGACCAUAUUCUAAAUGCUACCAGAACAUAGAGUUGUGUGAAGAAUGAAACUGGAAUUGUCAAAACGUUUUUUUACAUAACACAAAGUAAAUCGAGGAAUUAUUUCUUGUAACAGCGUCACAAUGCCGAGCUGCAAUUUUUUCGUCACAAUGCUCUCGAUUCUAGUAGUUUUUUUCCUGUACAUUAUGUUUUUCCUGUUAACAUUGGAUUCAUGCCAGUCAUCUAUCUAAGUUUUGUCUGGAAAAAAAUAUUUGACUUGAAUUAACGUAGCUUAACGUUUCAAAUCGGAAAUAGAUUGAGGAAGGACAGAUAAUCCGGUGGGCACCAGUAGAAAUGUAUAAGCUUGCAAUUUAUAAAUUUUCAGCCCAUCUAAUAAACGUUGGAACAAGAUGUUAUGUUUAAAUUCAUGUCAGAUGUGUAUUUUAUUUAAAUUUUUUAUCUGAAAUCCUAAAUUUUUCUUUCGUUACUAAUGCUUAGUAUUGUAAUGUACCGUUUGGACUUCACUGAAGUGAUCUGGUCUAAAAAUUUCACAUUAUACUACAAGCCAACCAAUGCUGUAUGUCAUCUGGCUAGAUAACCGUUAUAAUACUAAUAAAUUAUGAAACAAUAUGGUACUAGAGAGAAUCGUAAGGCGCC
This is a long non-coding RNA of Centruroides sculpturatus (bark scorpion), 744 nucleotides long. RefSeq lists it as uncharacterized. The transcript is spliced from 3 exons. The record is from RefSeq and is a predicted model, not a curated record. NCBI's taxonomy places the organism in Eukaryota, Metazoa, Arthropoda, Arachnida, Scorpiones, Buthidae.